RNAcentral lists this ribosomal RNA (194 nucleotides) under uncultured bacterium. Its description in RNAcentral is "partial 16S ribosomal RNA". It matches the Rfam family "Bacterial small subunit ribosomal RNA", at positions 338 to 524 of the family's 1533-position model. The record is from RNAcentral.
CCUACGGGAGGCAGCAGUGGGGAAUAUUGGACAAUGGGCGAAAGCCUGAUCCAGCAAUGCCGCGUGUGUGAAGAAGGCCUGCGGGUUGUAAAGCACUUUCGGUGGGGAGGAAAAGCUGAGGGCUAAUACCUUUCAGUGUUGACGUUACCCAAAGAAGAAGCACCGGCUAACUCUGUGCCAGCAGGCGCGGUAAU